GACGAACCGGACGAACGUUAUUCGGAAUUACUGGGCUUAAAGAGUGCGUAGGCGGCCUGGCAGGUUGGGUGUGAAAUCCCUCGGCUCAACCGAGGAAUUGCGCUCAAAGCCGCUAGGCUUGAGGGAGACAGGGGUGAGCGGAACUGAUGGUGGAGCGGUGAAAUGCGUUGAUAUCAUCAGGAACACCGGUGGCGAAGGCGGCUCACUGGGUCUCUUCUGACGCUGAGGCACGAAAGCUAGGGUAGCGAACGGG
RNAcentral lists this unclassified non-coding RNA (253 nucleotides) under uncultured Pirellulaceae bacterium. RNAcentral describes it as "contains 16S-23S intergenic spacer region". It matches the Rfam family "Bacterial small subunit ribosomal RNA", at positions 524 to 776 of the family's 1533-position model. Lineage: Bacteria; Pseudomonadati; Planctomycetota; Planctomycetia; Pirellulales; Pirellulaceae. The record is from RNAcentral.